GAAGAAUAGGGCCCAAAGGAGAGAGAAGAUGGUGGAGAAAAAGCAGAGAGAAGGAAUGGAAGGCAAUGAGGUGAAGCAGCCGGAGCGUGGUGAGGCUGGAGGCGGAAUUCAUCGAAUCAGAGGAAACGGCCCCAAAAAGGAGAGGCGCGGUGAGGCCCCUUAAUGGGGCAGAAAGGGGGGGGAGGGGGAGGGGGGGUUGAGGGGGCUCUUAUCGUUUCAGGCACUACUAUGGCCACAAAGCACCCCUGGAAUUGCCCAACGUUGGGGUAGAUUUGGGGAUAAAAAAAAUCAACGGAAAUGGUGAAUAUGUUUUAAUUAUUAUUAUUUUUAUGAGGGGGGGUUGGGGGAAGAAAAACUUAAAAUAACAGGAAGAAAAAAAAAAAAAAAGAAUGUGGAAAAGUAUGAAUUCAACCCCAAAUCCAACGUCAUCACGCUCCGGCUGUCAAGUGUUGUAGGUACCAGUGGUGCAUCUCAGAGUAAGUGCCGAAUCUUUGGGAUUUUAAGCCCAAAAUGUCGUGUUGUUGAUAGGGGUGGGGGGGAUGGGGGGAGCAGGUGGGGAAAGGAGGAUAAAAAAUGGUGGAAAAAGGGAAAAGUGCUGUUUUCUUUUGUGUUGUUUUUUUUUGUUGGGGGGGGUGUUCGAGUUUGUUUCCCCUCCCAGGUUGUGGCAGCGCCAAGAGACAAAAGUGGAGGAGCAAUUAAUAAGUAACAAAAAAAAGGCAAUUUAAGAUAAUAAUGAUGAGAAAAAAAAAGAUGAGGAAAUAAAAACUAUGGACCCUCAGGAUUGAAAGAUUUGAGCCGAGAAAGGGGAAAAAUCUCAGCAUCCAGGAGCUUUUCUGCAGGGAGAUUUGAGGAUAAAAGCCACAGAUUUGGGUAACUGAGACUCUCAGAAGUGUUUUAGCCUUGAACCGUCGGAUUUUGAGGGCAAAAAAGGCAAAAAGCAAAGGGCGCUGGGUGUUGGCAGCAAAGGGAUCUUCGGCACAGAUCAGUGAGAGCACCAAAACUGCGGGAAUUUGCCCCAAAACCGAGGCAGCGUGGACUCCUGAGGCGAAAAGGCAGAGAGAAACACGGCAGCAAAACCAUCUCCCCCAUAAAAAAAAACAAAAAGCUACGUAUAGGAUAAGGGAGGAAAAAAAAAUAGGUAUUUGUGCUGUUUUUCACCCAAAUUGGAGAUGUGGGUGGAUUCGGGGCGAUGGCGUUAGGUUCACCCCGGGGUGGGUCGGCCCCAUUUCAGCCCUAAUUUUGCUUGUUUUCUACCCAUUUGAGAAUGAAAAACAAACGGUGGCAGGAAAUGCCCCCCCAAAAUGGCUGGAAAUGGCCCCAAAAUGGCCGAAAAUGGCCCCAAAAUGGCCAGAAAUAACCCCAAAAUGAGCGGCCUGCACAGCAGUGCGCAGCUCCAUGCCCUUCAGCGGGCAUUGAAGUGAAAGAAGUCACUUUUUGGUGUGCAUUGAGGGGAGGGGGGAGGUUUGUACCCAUUUCCCACUUAUUCUCCCCAAAAUGGCAGUGGUGUUGUGGGGUUUAUUUUUAGGGGGGGGGGGUCUGUUGUGUUUUGUUGUUUUCUUUUCUCUCCCCCCCCCUCGUUUUCUUGCUCUCCAUUGAGGCAGCUUCGCAGCGACAUAAAACAGCCCCAAAACAACCCAAAGAGAGGAGAAAUGCUUUAAAAAAAAAUGAUAUAAAAAAUUAGAAAAAACAAAACUAUUUAAAAAAAAAAACAAAAAACAAAAACAAAAAGAGCACAAAACCCCUUAAAAAAGAGGCAGAAAAUAUCCAAGGGAGCGGAGUAAGUACCUGCGGCGCGGUCACGCCGGCCCCAUACCCUGCUUUUUGGGUCCUUUUCCUUCGUUUUAUGUUGUUUUUUCGUCACACCGGUCCCAAAAAGCUGCUUUCUGAGCCCAUUCUGUGUUGGGGCAGCAGCGACGCUCUCACAACGCACCCAAAAUGUUGCUUUCUGCGCCUGUUUCGCCGCGAGCUUCACCCCCAAAACGCCCAUUUCUGAACCCGCUUCGCGCUGGCGCCGUGUGACUGACCCAAAAUCCCACUUUCUCAGCCCAUUUUACAUGUGUGGCUGACCCAAAAUCCCUCAGCCUGUUUUAGACACGUGGCUGACCCAAAAUCCCCCUUUCUGAGCACGUUUUGGACACGUGGCUGACCCAAAACCUCCCUUUCCGAGCCCAUGUUAGACAUGUGGCUGACCCAAAAUCUCUUUCUGAGCCCAUUUUAAAUGUGUGGCUGACCCAAAAUCCCUCAUUCUAAGCCCGUUUUGGACACGCGGCUGACCCAAAAUCCCCCUUUCUGAGCCCAUUUUGCGCCGGGGGUGCAUGGCUGACCUAAAAUCCCCCUUUCUGCGCCUGUUCCGGACGCGUGGCUGACCUGAAAUCGCGCUUUCUGAGCCCAUUUUGCGCCGGGGACGCGUGGCUGACCCCAAAUCUCUCUUUCUAAGCCCAUUUAGCGCCGGGGGAAGCGCGUCGGACCCCAAAUCCCUCUUUCUGAGCCCGUUUCGUGCUCUGAGCCCAUUUCUUACGUCUGUUCUGCGCUGGGGAUGACCCAAAAUCGCGCUUUCUGAACCCGUUUUGCGCCGGGGUAAUGAUAACUCCUAAAAACACCCCAAAAGGCCCCAAAUAAAGUGGGGUGGGGGUGGGGCGGCGCGCGCCUU
Molecule: long non-coding RNA, 2650 nt
Filed under: Coturnix japonica (Japanese quail)
Lineage: Eukaryota; Metazoa; Chordata; Aves; Galliformes; Phasianidae
Description: lncRNA (ENSCJPG00005001883.1)
Source: RNAcentral